Molecule: ribosomal RNA, 505 nt
Filed under: uncultured fungus
Lineage: Eukaryota; Fungi
Description: eukaryotic LSU rRNA
Rfam family: 5.8S ribosomal RNA (bases 79-232)
Source: RNAcentral
GACUUUGAUCUUUUUGGGGCUUGCGGCUUUACCUUUAAACACCAAGUCAAAGAAUGUAAUAAAACCAUAACAAAAGAAAACUUUCAACAACGGAUCUCUUGGCUCUCGCAUCGAUGAAGAACGCAGCGAAAUGUGAUAAGUAAUGUGAAUUGCAGAAUUCAGUGAAUCAUCGAAUCUUUGAACGCACCUUGCGCUCUCUGGUAUUCCGGAGAGCAUGCCUGUUUGAGUGUCAUGAACUCUUCAACCCACCGGUUCCUUGUUGGAUCGAGUUGGUGUUUGGAUUUUGAGCGCUUGCUAAUUUAAUUACUAGCUCGCUCGUAAUACAUUAGCAUCUCAAUUUUGAUAUUCGGAUUGACUCGGCGUAAUAGACUAUUCGCUGAGGACACUAGUAAUGGUGUCCGAAUAUGGAAAAAGCUAGAAGCUUCUAAUCAAUCUAGUCAACCUAAGAUUAGACCUCAGAUCAGGCAGGAUUACCCGCUGAACUUAAGCAUAUCAAUAAGCGGAG